GAUGAACGCUGGCGGCGUGCUUAACACAUGCAAGUCGAACGAAGCAUUUAGGACAGAUUACUUCGGUUUGAAGUUCUUUAUGACUGAGUGGCGGACGGGUGAGUAACGCGUGGGUAACCUGCCUUGUACUGGGGGAUAGCAGCUGGAAACGGCUGGUAAUACCGCAUAAGCGCACAAUGUUGCAUGACAUGGUGCGAAAAACUCCGGUGGUAUAAGAUGGACCCGCGUCUGAUUAGCUAGUUGGUGAGAUAACAGCCCACCAAGGCGACGAUCAGUAGCCGACCUGAGAGGGUGACCGGCCACAUUGGGACUGAGACACGGCCCAGACUCCUACGGGAGGCAGCAGUGGGGAAUAUUGCACAAUGGAGGAAACUCUGAUGCAGCGACGCCGCGUGAGUGAAGAAGUAAUUCGUUAUGUAAAGCUCUAUCAGCAGGGAAGAUAGUGACGGUACCUGACGAAGAAGCCCCGGCUAAAUACGUG
RNAcentral lists this ribosomal RNA (481 nucleotides) under uncultured bacterium. RNAcentral's name for it is "partial 16S ribosomal RNA". It matches the Rfam family "Bacterial small subunit ribosomal RNA", at positions 28 to 507 of the family's 1533-position model. The record is from RNAcentral.